AUUGAACGCUGGCGGCAGGCUUAACACAUGCAAGUCGAGCGGAUGAAGGGAGCUUGCUCCUGGAUUCAGCGGCGGACGUGUGAGUUAUGCCUAGGAUUCUGCCUGGUGGUGGGGGAUAACGUCCGGAAACUGGCGCUAAUACCUCAUACGUCCUGAGGGAGAAACUGUGGGUUCUUCGUCCCUCACCCUAUCAUAUGACCCUAGGUCGGAUUAUCUAGUUGGUGGGGUAAAGGCCUACCAAGGCCGCGAUCCGUAACUGGUCUGAGAGGAUGAUCAGUCACACGGGAACGGAGACACGGUCCAGACUCCUAAGGGAGGCAGCAGUGGGGAAUAUUGGACAAUGGGCGAAAGCGUGAUCCAGACAUGCCGCGUGUGUGAAGAAGGUCUUCGGAUUGUAAAGCACUAUAAGUUGGGAGGAAGGGAAGUAAGUUAAUACCGUGCAGUUUUGACGGUACCAACAGAAGAAGCACCGGCUAACUUCGUG
RNAcentral lists this ribosomal RNA (484 nucleotides) under uncultured bacterium. RNAcentral describes it as "partial 16S ribosomal RNA". It matches the Rfam family "Bacterial small subunit ribosomal RNA", at positions 30 to 507 of the family's 1533-position model. The record is from RNAcentral.